Pungitius pungitius (ninespine stickleback) is the source of this 545-nucleotide long non-coding RNA. RefSeq lists it as uncharacterized. The transcript has 4 exons. Lineage: Eukaryota; Metazoa; Chordata; Actinopteri; Perciformes; Gasterosteidae. The record is from RefSeq and is a predicted model, not a curated record.
GACAGGGUAAGAGGGGGGGUCGACCAAAGAAAGCUCUCUUCAGUCACUCCCUGUUUUUAAAUCGGGUUCAGUUUUUUCGUGGAGUUGACAGAAGUGCUUGUGUUUGCUGCUUCACUAAACGGCAACUGUGGCUGAAGCCAUGGAGUUUCUCUUGAGGUGGUUUCUGUUGUCCUUGAUAGCUGUUGGAAGACAUCAAGCUCAUGGUUUCAGUGUUGGAUAUGCUGAGAAGCAUGGCGGUAAUGACGUGCCAGUUGCAGGAUAUCGAUUCCAUUCAAGUGGCUCUAAAGCUGCAGGUGGCGCUUCAGGGAGGACUUGGCCUCGUGGUGGUGGUCCAACCUCCAAUGUCUUUAAGGCACCAGAGUAUCAGCGACCAGUUCCGCAGUGGUCACAGACGCGUGGCCAUCUUUACCCGCAGCCUCCCCAGGUGGCCCCAUGGCACGGCCACCCCGCCCAGCAGCAACGGCCACAAGAGCCCCAGGGGCCCCGGCCACCCAUCUAUCCUGCCCAGCAACAAAAGCUACUGCCCCAAGUGGCCCAUUGGCACG